Molecule: non-coding RNA, 99 nt
Filed under: Garciella nitratireducens
Lineage: Bacteria; Bacillati; Bacillota; Clostridia; Eubacteriales; Eubacteriaceae
Also listed under: 1 other name
Description: TPP sequence
Rfam family: TPP riboswitch aptamer (THI element)
About the family: Vitamin B(1) in its active form thiamin pyrophosphate (TPP) is an essential coenzyme that is synthesised by coupling of pyrimidine and thiazole moieties in bacteria. The previously detected thiamin-regulatory element, thi box was extended, resulting in a new, highly conserved RNA secondary structure, the THI element, which is widely distributed in eubacteria and also occurs in some archaea.
Source: RNAcentral
AAUAAUAUGCAGGGGAACUUAUUAAGUUGAGAAGGUUGAAACCUGACCCUUUGAACCUGUCGGUUAACACCGUUGUAGGGAAGCAUAGAAAAAUCAUUU